RNAcentral lists this ribosomal RNA (767 nucleotides) under Montagnula puerensis. Its description in RNAcentral is "partial large subunit ribosomal RNA". It matches the Rfam family "Eukaryotic large subunit ribosomal RNA", at positions 118 to 897 of the family's 3401-position model. Lineage: Eukaryota; Fungi; Ascomycota; Dothideomycetes; Pleosporales; Didymosphaeriaceae. The record is from RNAcentral.
AAAUCUGGCCCCCCUCUGGGGGGUCCGAGUUGUAAUUUGCAGAGGGCGCUUUGGCAUCGGCGGCGGUCUAAGUUCCUUGGAACAGGACAUCGCAGAGGGUGAGAAUCCCGUACGUGGGCGCCUGCCUUUGCCGUGUAAAGCCCCUUCGACGAGUCGAGUUGUUUGGGAAUGCAGCUCUAAAUGGGAGGUAAAUUUCUUCUAAAGCUAAAUACCGGCCAGAGACCGAUAGCGCACAAGUAGAGUGAUCGAAAGAUGAAAAGUACUUUGGAAAGAGAGUCAAAUAGCACGUGAAAUUGUUGAAAGGGAAGCGCUUGCAGCCAGACGUGCGCGCGGUUGCUCACCCCGGCUCUCGCCUGGGGCACUCUUCCGCGCGCAGGCCAGCAUCAGUUCGGGCGGUCGGAUAAAGGCCUCUGUCAAGUACCUUCCCCCGGGAAGGCCUUAUAGGGGAGGCGCAAUGCGACCAGCCCGGACUGAGGUCCGCGCAUCUGCUAGGAUGCUGGCGUAAUGGCUGUAAGCGGCCCGUCUUGAAACACGGACCAAGGAGUCUAACAUCUAUGCGAGUGUUUGGGUGUCAAGCCCGGGCGCGCAAUGAAAGUGAACGGAGGUGGGAUCCCCUUCCGGGGUGCACCAUCGACCGAUCCUGAUGUCUUCGGAUGGAUUUGAGUAAGAGCAUAGCUGUUGGGACCCGAAAGAUGGUGAACUAUGCUUGAAUAGGGUGAAGCCAGAGGAAACUCUGGUGGAGGCUCGCAGCGGUUCUGACGUGCAAA